UUUAUUUAGAUACUUCUAUGUACCAUACUCUGUGCUAAGUGCUGAAGACACAAUGAUGAACCCGGAUGAAGAGGAGGUUUCCUUGCUCUUAUAACUUACACUCUAGCCAAGCCAAGGAGGCAAGGAAAAAUAACCAUCCAGAUGGCCAUGCAUUCAUGGUUGAGAAAUAUACCUUGCCAACAAAUACCCUGCUGCCUGCGAGUUGUUUAUACUGAGAAUGUGUGAGGAAGUGUCACCCUCCGAAGGAAAGCUGCCAAGUGGAGACCAUGUGCACACUGGAAUCCAUUCAAAGGAUGCACGAUGUAGCAUCUGAGCCCUCAGACAAAGAGCCACAGGCCACCCCACUGGGGUAUGGUGCCUCACCUGCCAGAAAUCCACUCCCUUCUCUCCAGCACAGCCAGAGUUUUACAGGCUACUGGAACAUUAUGAAAAAAGAAAGUGGUGUGCCCUCAUUCCACACUUUUAACACCAUCAGAAUGUUGACUAACAUGUCAUAAACAGUGACAGCUGAACAUCAACAGUUAAAGAAAAAAUAAAAGACACCUGCACUUCAAAAAACCCUGUCUGAUAAUUGUUUUGGCUUGCAAGACACAGACCAGAGAAAGCAGAGUCUUGCCGGUGUUUUAUCCUUGAAGAUUGCAUGAGCCUCGUACAUCGUUAAGU
Molecule: long non-coding RNA, 663 nt
Organism: Canis lupus familiaris (dog)
Lineage: Eukaryota; Metazoa; Chordata; Mammalia; Carnivora; Canidae
Exons: 4
Source: RefSeq, a predicted model, not a curated record